CCUACGGGAGGCAGCAGUGGGGAAUAUUGCACAAUGGGCGCAAGCCUGAUGCAGCAACGCCGCGUGAGGGAUGACGGCCUUCGGGUUGUAAACCUCUUUUAGCAGGGAAGAAGCGAAAGUGACGGUACC
RNAcentral lists this ribosomal RNA (129 nucleotides) under uncultured bacterium. Its description in RNAcentral is "partial 16S ribosomal RNA". It matches the Rfam family "Bacterial small subunit ribosomal RNA", at positions 338 to 479 of the family's 1533-position model. The record is from RNAcentral.